Molecule: ribosomal RNA, 249 nt
Filed under: uncultured bacterium
Lineage: Bacteria
Description: partial 16S ribosomal RNA
Rfam family: Bacterial small subunit ribosomal RNA
Source: RNAcentral
GCAAGUCGAGGGGUAACGAUAUCUUCGGUUAGGCGACGACCGGCGCACGGGUGCGUAACACGUAUGCAACCUACCUUGUACAGGGGAAUAGCCCAGAGAAAUUUGGAUUAAUGCCCCAUAGUAUUACGAAAUCGCAUGGUUUUGUAAUUAAAGAUUUAUUGGUACAAGAUGGGCAUGCGACCCAUUAGAUAGUUGGUGAGGUAACGGCUCACAAAGUCCGCGAUGGGUAGGGGUUCUGAGAGGAUGAGC